CGUAUCUCCAGGUUCACACGCUGUCUGUAAUGCGUAUUUUUUCCGAGCCCAUGUUAAUGGAUCAGAGCGUUCACACUGCACACGGUAAAGGAUGUGAACAAAAAAGGUUAGAAAUAGAAAGGUGCGAAAAGAAUGAAUAUCUAGCGCAUGAGCAUAGAGAGAGUUGUGAGUUCACAAGACACAGUUUGAGCGAGAUGCGUAUUUUUUUCCGAGCCCAUGUUAAUGGAUCAGAGCCUUCACACGCACACGGUAAAAGAUGUGAACAGAAAAGGUUAGAAAUAAAAAGGUGCGAAAAGAAUGAAUAUCUAGCGCCUGAGCAUAGAGAGAGUUGUGAGUUCACAAGACACAGUUUGAGCGAGAGGAGACGCGUUUUAACUGCGCGCAUUUUCUCCGGGCUAGAGCAUGUAUCUGAGCACGCGUGUCUGGUUUUGUGA
This is a long non-coding RNA of Cyprinus carpio carpio, 434 nucleotides long. The record is from Ensembl. Lineage: Eukaryota; Metazoa; Chordata; Actinopteri; Cypriniformes; Cyprinidae.